RNAcentral lists this long non-coding RNA (279 nucleotides) under Cyanistes caeruleus (blue tit). RNAcentral describes it as "lncRNA (ENSCCEG00000022790.1)". The record is from RNAcentral. Lineage: Eukaryota; Metazoa; Chordata; Aves; Passeriformes; Paridae.
CCUGGUGAUCCUGGUCCCCCUGGGGAACCUGGUCCAGCUGGUCAGGAUGGUGUUGGUGGAGAGAAGGGUGAAGAUGGUGAUCCUGGUCAACCUGGUCCACCAGGUCCUUCAGGUGAAGCUGGCCCACCUGGUCCUCCUGGGAAAAGAGUAAGGAAUAUCUCAUGUUCUCUUGUACACUCCUCUUUCUGAGACACUGUGUCCUAGAGAAUUCCAGCUACUUGUUCUAUGCUGGGACACUCAUAUAAAUGAAAAAAUAGAAACAGCAGAGAAAGCUCUUUA